CGGAGGAGGGGGGGCGGCGGCGAGGGGGAGAGGGAGGGCAGCUGCAGGGCCCAGGAGAGCCGUCGGAGGAACCCAGGAGCUGGAGCGUCUCAAAACUAAGCUCUCGCAUCAGGACGCCACCAUCUCUGCGCUUAGACGCGAGAUCAGCGUCCUGCGCAGCAAGACGGGCUCCGUGGUGCUCCCCGGCCUCCCCGCACCCGAUGCCCCGAAGGCGCCACGCCCCCCGAGUGCCCAGCUGCCUCUCUUGUCCGCCAGGAGCACCGAGCAGUACGCCGAAGGAGAGCUGGCCCACUUGGUCGGCCAAGAGGGGCUCCUACCCCCCAUCCCUCGCGAGGACUCCCCUGACGAAGGAGCUCGCGCCUCGGGCGAGGGGCCGGGGGAGGGGGCCGCCAGCGGGGGGAACACCGUGCGCUUCGGUAGCGACGGCGACGGAGACGACGAGGACGAGAGUGAGGCUGCCUCCUCUGACGGCUCGGUCUAAGGAUGUCUUGUCUGUCCUUGGCUGCGUUUUGUGCGGGAGAAGGUUCCCUUUCUUUCCUAUUAAUUGCUUAUCAGUUCAUUGAGCGGCAAUUUUUUUUUAUCUUCCUUGUGUGCGACUAUUGUGAUGUGAUGGGAUGUUACAAAUAGAACCCUGGGAUCCUCUUUGCUAUAAUUUUUUAAUGGUGUACCGUAUGUGCUUGGUAAGUAUUUAUUUUCUUUUUAUUAUACAGUAUAUACAGGAUAUGGUUUAUUGCUAUAACUUUACUGGCAAUUUUUUUCAUGGUAAUCUAAAAUUACAAGCACACAUUUCCAGGAUGUACUGGUAACUUCUAUCUCAAAUGAUUACCAUAACAUGAUCAUUCUGAGCCUUAAUUUUGGGGGAAUAUUUGUUCUCUCUCCUUUUUUUUGGCUUCAUCUUCAUCCGUUAUUUCUAGGAAAAUUAUCUCAAAACCAUGAAAAAAUCUCCUUAACACAAUAUAAGGUCUAUGAAAUAAAAAGAACUGUUUAUAAUGUAACUAUAUUUAUUUCCUAUAAUAAAUUAAAAAAUAAAUAAUGGCGACUGGUUCUGGCUGACAAGAUAACAGGUGGGCGACUGGAGUGAAUAAAAAAUAAAUAAAUAAGAAUUCCACCAAAAUACUUUCCUCUAAUUUUCCCUUCCUUCCUUUCUCUGGUGCUGGACAUGUGCAAAUGUAGAAUUUUGCUUAAACAUUCGGUCCCAUCACAAAAUACAAGAAUAUACGGGGUAAGUGUCUAUAUCACAAAAACCCUUAUAUUCUUACAUGAUUCCACAAUAUAAUUGACACAUCUUACAUCCUUUAAAUAUAAAAUGUGGUUUUCCUUACAGCAAUGUAACAAAUAUAGAAAAUAUGGGGCCUCAAACCCCCUUUUUUUUCUUCUUUUUUACUUUUCAUAUUCCAAAGUCAUUGAUCUUUUAAUAUCACAUAGAUAUAUGUAAGAUUUGGUAAAUGUCGGGAUAUUUCAUUUUAUCAACCAUAUAUUGAGGUAAAAGACUUGUACAUCAAGUUCAGAUACCCAAAAUAACAUUGAUAAUAAAAAAAAUACCCCUGCUCCAUAUAAAAAUAAGAAUAAGAGCAAAAAUCUGAGAUGUCAUACAAUAUAUAUUGGAACAUAGAAAAUUUCAGAAAGAAAAAUUUACACAGUAGAUAACAGAUCACUUUUCUCUCUUUGCUUUCAUAGCUGCCAGCCAAAACAACACUAUUGUAACCCAACACCAAGAAAUUUUUCUUAGCAGCCCUCCAAAAUACCUGGGACCUUCAUAAACUUUUCUGCCAAUCGCCCACCCUAAAAAACAACCUUUAACCCAUAGAAGGCAUUGUGUUACUUCACCAUUAAAUACGGGUUUGGCGAUUGAAAAAGAAAGAAAAAAAAUUGCUGUUCAUUACUGCUCAUUCACAUGACACCAUCAUGUCUGCAGCUCUAAAAAUACAACAAUUUUCAUAUUUUUUAAGUUAUUUUCUUCUUUCUCUUAAGUUUUGGGUCUGGUAUCCUUAUUUCAUACAUCAUUCUAGCAGAUGGGAUUGUAAAUUGGCAGCAAAUGGAGUGAAAAUGAACACAUGUCAUUUCUUUAAUUUCAUUAAUCUGAUAUUUUUUUAUAUUCAAUUCUGCAGCAUGCAGAUGAAAAUCCUAUAUUCCCCUAAAAAGGAAUCAUAAUACAUAUAUAUAAUACAUACCUUUUCUAGGUUUGUUUAGGAAAUGAAUGAAGUCUUUAAAAAUUAAAAUAUAUAAUAUAUAUCCAUUUCCAAACAUUUUGCUGCCACAGAUAAUCCAGACCAAUUAUUUUUUAUUUACACGGACAUCAGAGGCGAUCCACAAACUUUAAAAAAAAAAAAAAAAAAAAAAAAAAAAAAAAAAAAAAA
RNAcentral lists this long non-coding RNA (2357 nucleotides) under Penaeus monodon (black tiger shrimp). RNAcentral's name for it is "uncharacterized LOC119574427". The record is from RNAcentral. Lineage: Eukaryota; Metazoa; Arthropoda; Malacostraca; Decapoda; Penaeidae.